Long non-coding RNA from Pseudopodoces humilis (Tibetan ground-tit), 187 nucleotides. RefSeq lists it as uncharacterized. NCBI's taxonomy places the organism in Eukaryota, Metazoa, Chordata, Aves, Passeriformes, Paridae. The record is from RefSeq and is a predicted model, not a curated record.
ACUACAUGUGCAUUUCCAGAGCUGCAGUUCCACGGGGAGCUCUCAGUUACCUGGGAACAGAGGCUGACUCCCACCUGGCUACACCCUCCUGUCAGGGACUUGCAGAGUUCCCGUGUCAUCAUGCCAUCCAUGGGCUUUGUGAUGACAGCAACUGCACGGUGUGACAGCAGCAGCCAAAGAACUGGAG